CCGGGCGGAGAGAAGAUGGUGAUCAUCAAGGAGUACCGUGUGGUUUUGCCUUGCUCAGUAGAAGAGUACCAAGUUGGGCAGCUUUUCUCUGUGGCUGAGGCCAGCAAAAACGAGACGGGUGGUGGAGAAGGCAUUGAAGUGCUGACAAAUGAACCAUAUGAAAAAGAGGGAGAGAAAGGACAGUACACACACAAAAUAUAUCACUUAAAGAGUAAAGUGCCCGCCUUUCUAAAGAUGAUUGCACCAGAGGGGGCUCUAGUAUUCCAUGAAAAAGCCUGGAAUGCCUACCCAUACUGCCGUACUAUUGUGACGAAUGAAUACAUGAAAGAUGACUUCAUGAUCAAAAUUGAAACAUGGCACAAACCGGACAUGGGCUUUAUGGAAAAUGUACAUGAAUUGGACCCAGAGACAUGGAAGACGGUUGAGGUAGUGCCUAUCGACAUAGCAGACAAAUCACAAGUGGAGCCAGGAGAUUAUAAACCAGAAGAAGACCCUGCACUAUAUCACUCAGAGAAAACAGACCGAGGUCCACUAGGCCCAGACUGGAAGUCAGAGCUCGCUGCAAAAGAAGAUGCCCCACGAAUGUGUGCAUAUAAACUAGUCACUGUGAAGUUCAAGUGGUGGGGCCUUCAAAGCAAAAUAGAACAGUUUAUCCACAGACAAGAGAAAAGAAUCUUUACGAACUUCCAUCGCCAGUUGUUCUGUUGGAUUGACAGCUGGGUAGAGCUUACCAUGGAGGACAUCCGGCGGAUGGAGGCUGAGACACAGAAGGAACUGGAAGAGAUGCGUUGCAAGGGCACAGUAAGAGGCACAACAGCAGCAGAAGAAUAGCUGUGGGCUGUCUAAUAGCGAGACAGGUGGAGUGAGAUCCGUAAGUUGUGCAGGAAUCGGAGGGCGAGGCUCUGCUGGGGGGACCGCUUCGUAAAACUGGUGAGGUUCGAGGUACCAGUGCCGCUCAUGAACAAUGAGACAAAACUAAGGGAUCCUACUGUUAAUAUUUUGACAAGUGAACAAAGCGACACACGAACGAAGCUGACCAGUGGUGUACAGUGUGGUUCUGUCCUCCACCAGCCUGAGGGAAAGCCCCAGCAAUCGGUAGUACUGUACCCUGCUCAACGUUACUCCCUGUCACCCUUCUCAACAUAGACAACAGCCUCACACUGACACGGAAAGACUCUCGCCACUACAUGUAAUUAGCCUAUGAUGAUAUUAGUGAAGAAUGGUAGAAAAUGGUGUUUUUGAGUAAGGAGUUUGCAUCAUUUUAGAAAUAAUUGAGCUUUGUGAUGAGACUUUUAACUUCAGUGUCAGUUGCUGGACCAAAUUUAGUUGUCUGUUUUAGUACUUUCAUAACUAUAGAUUUCUAUCCUGAGUUAGUCUCACAGGUUAAGGUGUAUCUUUGACCCCCAUCCACACAGACUCCCCAGGUUAAGCACUUAUGUCAGUUAGAUUGAAACGUUCAUAUCUUUUUUUUUUUUUUAAGUUAUUGUAAUAAUCACGGUUAGCUUGUUAUUCAUUUAAUUAUAAUAGUUUUGCUUUUCUUGUCUUGUCUGGUCUAGAAAGAUCUAGAUCUAGUUUUGCUGUCGCAUGGAGGCAAUGCUCUCACCAACAAAAAGCAAGCACAUACAAAUAGCCACCUGAUUUGACAUCAUUCAUAUUAAAUGUCCUGUUAGGUGAACCACACAAACAGACCACAAAACCUCUCUUGGUGAAUGGUUUUGCAUGAGCUCUGCUUAUGCCAAGACGUAAUGGGUGUUUUUACUUAAUUUUUUUUUGUUUUGUUUUGUUUUGUUUUUUUAAACUAACUAGAGGUCUCCAUGUUCUCAGGGGGCCUCUGUGCUCAGCACUGGGCUGGGUGUAGACUCAGGCAGUGCCCACUGACAGUAACAGAUAGGAAAUGAUCCUUUCUGAGAUUUAGACUAGCUAGCAAUACAAUCACUGCUGCUUUUUCUAGAGCUUGUAGGGCAUGUACUGUACAGCUAAAUCUCAAAUGUUCCUGUAUGCAGACAUGCAUGAAUAGCAGGCAAAUCAGAUAAUAGAUUUACUUAAUGAAGAAAGGAAGAUAUAAAACCAAGCAAAAAGGGCCUUUUCAACAUAUGAAGCUGCAAGAGUGUACUUUCCUAUUCCAAACUAAGAGAUAGAUGAGGAUGUCAUGAAUUGGGAUGGUCUAUAGCUGAAAGAGGACCUUUCUGCUACACUUCUCUUGUAGUUCUACAAUCUUGUACAGUUCUACAGUCAUCUACCAGUGUGCACCAGCCUUUCAUCAGCCAGCCUAGCAAAAAACAGUUAUCAUGCUCAUUUGCACUGGUUGCACAAGAGACUAAACCCAACUUGCAGGGCUGAGAAACAUGUUUUAAUGUAGUAACGCUGAAGUAGCAUAGCGUGUGUACCGUUUUUCUGUUAAACAUCUAUAAUUUCAUUCUCGAACAGGUGAGACUGAGAGUGGCAGAGAUCUGUACAUGAUUUGUAACUGCAGAUAGCCAUUUUCACAGUUCGCACUGACUGGGGUUUGUUCAGAUGAUAUAGCAGCAGACUAUAGGGUUUCUCAGACAGCUAAAGGCUUGUUUUCGAUGUUGAAAGCAGAGGUGUGCCUGAUGUGUAAAACCCUUUGCAUUCACCUCUCCCUGUAGGACUGUUACAUUUGUUUUGAAGUGAAUCUUUUGAGAAUGUCAAAGCAAAAUUGGUGCAUUAUUUUUUAGCAACUUGUAGAUUUUUGAAAUUAUUAUAGGAAUGAUGUCCUCUCACAUUUCAACCUUUGUGAAUGUUGAGUCUAUCACUGUAGCUGGCAGGAUCUGUUCAGGUCACAGUGCCAGCCUCUGUGCCGUUUUAUCAAGUGCAGCACUUGAAUGAAGAAACUUCAUGUUGCAUCCCAACUAAUCUGCUUGUGUUUACCCAUUGUCUGAGGCACUUCAGAAUAAGGGAAGAAAGUUGUUUGAGUUGUGCUGUUCUGUGUAUGUCUGUGGACUAAUUUUUGUGCCAAUAGGACUUGGAUUUGGGUUUGGACAUUUUGGGUUUGGACAUUUGGAAUUCUUUGACUUUAAUUGAUUUUUUUAUUUUUUUAAAUCAGAUCAAAUGCGUAUUCUGUAAUUUGUAUGUAUUUUUGCCCCGUUAUUACUGAUGCAUAUAUUGUGUUGACUUAGCAGAUACAGAAGCUUGCUUAAUGUCCUUUUUAAAUUUUCUACAUUCAUUUCAAAAGCUCAUUUAAAAAUACGCUCUAUGCGCUCAGACUGUGGAGUAAAAGAUCACUUUGAUCUGAUUCAACUUCAUAUACAAAUCCAAAUCACGGCAUGAAAUUCUAAUCAAAUUCAAGUCCUGGCAGAAAAAUCAUUCCAUACAAUGAAUGUCUAUUUUACUGAAAAUGCUGCACCACAUACGGCUGAAGAAUGCUAAAAUGCUAUCCCUCAUAGGUUAUUUGCGUUACUUUUGUACACUGAAAUUGCUCUUUGAUUAUUGAGGGAGGGAGGGAGGGAGGGUGGGGAGGGACAUGUGUCCGAUACAAUUUUUAAAUCAGAAAUACUGUAAUAAUGUAACCACAAAGAAGCACUUGCAGAAGCUACUGUUUUUUUUUUUUUUUUUUUUGGUUUUUUUUUUUGAUAAUUUGAAAUUCAGGGGAAAUAGUGAAUGUACGAUAAGGUCUUUUUUUGUUUGUUCUUUUCUGUUUUUACAGCUUUUGAUUUGAACAAAAAUUAUUUAGACAGUGGAACUUAAGAGUAUCUAAUAAAUUUCAACAAAAAGGUUUUAAA
Pygocentrus nattereri (red-bellied piranha) is the source of this 3740-nucleotide RNA transcript. It is a transcript of the gene named phosphatidylinositol transfer protein, beta, with no coding region annotated. The record is from RefSeq and is a predicted model, not a curated record. The transcript is spliced from 12 exons. Lineage: Eukaryota; Metazoa; Chordata; Actinopteri; Characiformes; Serrasalmidae.